This 1136-nucleotide long non-coding RNA is filed under the name Anser brachyrhynchus (Pink-footed goose). RNAcentral's name for it is "lncRNA (ENSABRG00000021225.1)". The record is from RNAcentral. Lineage: Eukaryota; Metazoa; Chordata; Aves; Anseriformes; Anatidae.
AGCCCCGACGGCGGCGGAGCGGGAGCGGCCGCCCCUAUAAUUUAUUCCUCGGACUGGCCCGGCCCGGCCGCCCGCCCGCAGCGCUAUUUAUUGGGGCGCCGGCCGCAGCAGAAGUAGCCAAAGGUUUGCGAUCUCUAAUUUAUUCCCUCCCCCGCGGGGCCGCCGGAGCCCCCGCUGCGGCCGCCGGGCUCGCCCCGAGGGCACCGCGCCGCGCUCCCGGCCCGUUUCUAUUUAUUUUCUAACCGUGCGCGGAGCUCUGCCCCUCCCGUUGGUAGGUUCGGUUCGUUCCCCCCACCCCACCCCACGCCCCCCUCCCUUCCCCCCUUUGGUUUCGGUUUUUUGUUUGUAUCUUUAUUGCAAAAACCACUGUAGACUGCGAGGGUGCGUUUCUAUUUAUGUUAUAGUAAAUAUUUUAUUACUUACAUAAACCAUUUACCCAGGAACCGGUCUCGUGUCGUCUUUGCGGGCUGCGGGGACGGGACCGGGCUCCCGACGUGACCCCCGAGGUGUCGCCGUUGUCCUGAGGCUGCCCCCGUUGGCCCCCCGCUCCCCGGGGGGCUCCGUCGGGGCGCUUGUGCGAGCGGCCGGCCGCGGCGCUCGGACGCGCGGCGCUGGGGGUGCGGAGCCUUUCGCUGCCCCGACCGCAACUUUUUGCCGUCCAGGAAGCGUGACUUCUCCCCGCCGCUCACCGAAAUAACGAAAUAACGCACCGCAGGGUAGCGAAGAAGACUCCCUCUCCUCACCCCAAGCGCGCUCCGGGGUUUUCCGAUGCCACCGCUUUCCCCCCUCCUCCGUGGUUUCGUGCCCCGCUGGCUUGUGGUUACGCCAAGAGAGGCUGAAAAUGUCGCUGCCGUGCUCUCUGUUUGUGGAAGGAUCAGCUCGCAGCUCUCCUUAACCUCUUCUCUUGCAGCAGACGCCAAGAAAAGUCGCACUGAAGGUGUGAGCUUGUACAGUUGGACCAGGAGCCAAGCGCAUGAAGGUAGGACUGUGCUGUUGGUACACGAAGGAAAAACAGACGUAUAAAGAGCUGCUUAGCAAGGCACAAAAAAACUGAAGAAUAUUCCAAGUAGGACGUGCAGAAUAUUCCAAGUAGGACAAGGAAAGGGCAGGGGAGCUCUGCGCAUCCAUGACCCAGG